RNAcentral lists this ribosomal RNA (459 nucleotides) under uncultured Rhodoferax sp. RNAcentral's name for it is "bacterial SSU rRNA". It matches the Rfam family "Bacterial small subunit ribosomal RNA", at positions 924 to 1382 of the family's 1533-position model. Lineage: Bacteria; Pseudomonadati; Pseudomonadota; Betaproteobacteria; Burkholderiales; Comamonadaceae. The record is from RNAcentral.
CACAAGCGGUGGAUGAUGUGGUUUAAUUCGAUGCAACGCGAAAAACCUUAACCCACCUUUGACAUGUACGGAAUCCUUUAGAGAUAGAGGAGUGCUCGAAAGAGAGCCGUAACACAGGUGCUGCAUGGCUGUCGUCAGCUCGUGUCGUGAGAUGUUGGGUUAAGUCCCGCAACGAGCGCAACCCUUGUCAUUAGUUGCUACAUUUGGUUGGGCACUCUAAUGAGACUGCCGGUGACAAGCCGGAGGAAGGUGGGGAUGACGUCAAGUCCUCAUGGCCCUUAUAGGUGGGGCUACACACGUCAUACAAUGGCUGGUACAAAGGGUUGCCAACCCGCGAGGGGGAGCCAAUCCCAUAAAGCCAGUCGUAGUCCGGAUCGUAGUCUGCAACUCGACUACGUGAAGUCGGAAUCGCUAGUAAUCGUGGAUCAGAAUGUCACGGUGAAUACGUUCCCGGGUCUU